This 1188-nucleotide long non-coding RNA is filed under the name Homo sapiens (human). RNAcentral's name for it is "HSALNT0014787". Lineage: Eukaryota; Metazoa; Chordata; Mammalia; Primates; Hominidae. The record is from RNAcentral.
ACCAUUUUGCCCAGGCUAGUCUCAAACUCCUGGGCUCAAGGGAUCCACCGACCUUGGCCUCCCAAAGUUCUGGGUUUACAGGUGUGAACCACCAUGUCUGGCUGGUGACUGACAUCUUUGACCCCAGCAGUGAGUGCGGUCAUUUGGUUCAAGGAGGCAGGAAAAUGUGCCAAGUAACUGGGCGCUCCCACAUCUUGGAAAUUUAAAAUUUGAUUAUUGACAUAAAAAUUCAACAAGGGAUAAAUCCAGAACAGGAUAGAUAAAGCCAAGAGAAAAUAAAUAAGCUGAAAGAUUGUGCUAUUAUGAAAUAUAUAUUUGGUCUUCAACCCCAUUUCCUGACAUACAACUCCUAAAAUCCUUAGAAACACCAAAGUGUGAUGUCGUUUUGUUUAUUAAUGAGUUGACUGAUGUCUGGCAGCCCCUAGGUAGCUUCAGGAUGGGGGCUGGUGACCAGAAAGAACAAGGGGAGGAUUAGAGAGUUGGGACUUUCAGCCCACCUCCAACUUCCGGGGAGGGGAGAGGGGCUGAAGGUUAAGCCGAUCACCAAUGGCCAAUGGUUUAAUCAGUGAUUCCUUUGCAAUGGAGCCUCCAUAACGACCCAAAAGGACAGGGCUUAGAGAGCUUCUGGAUAGCUGAACAUGUAGAGGUUCCUGAAGGGUGGCGCACCCAGUGGAGGUGCAUGGAAGCUCCAUGCUCCUUCCCCCAUACUUUGCCUUAUGCAUCUUUUCAUCUGUAUUUUUUGUUAUAAACCAGUAAACCCAAGUGUUUCUCUGAGUUUCAUGAACUGCUCUAGCAAAUUAAUACAAUGCAAAGGAGGAAGCCAUGGGAACCCCAGCUUGGAAAUGGUUGGUCAGAAGUUCUGGAGGCCCAGACUUGGAACUGUCAUUUGAAGUGGGGGCAGUCUGGUAGACUCAGUCCUCAACCUGUGGGAUCUCCUGAUAAAUAGUGUAAAAACUGAAUUGGAGUACACUCAGCUGGUGUCCACUGCAGAACUGAUUGCUUGCUUGCUGUGUGGAGAACCCCGCUCCGCCGUCAGUCUUCUGUGUUGAUUGUUGUAGUGUGAAAGCACAGGAAACACAUAGUUUGAGUUUCUCCCUCCUCAUGAUGAUCAAGAUAAGCCAGAAAUUCCUCCACAAAGCCAUAUAAAAAGAUGCCUUCCUAUUCCACCAAAAUGGAAUUUAUAAAACC